This is a long non-coding RNA of Sceloporus undulatus (fence lizard), 701 nucleotides long. RefSeq lists it as uncharacterized. Lineage: Eukaryota; Metazoa; Chordata; Lepidosauria; Squamata; Phrynosomatidae. The transcript is spliced from 2 exons. The record is from RefSeq and is a predicted model, not a curated record.
CCUCCUCCUCCUCCUCUUUCCUCGGCGCCUUUUAAGUUUCGGAUUACUGAAAGCGAGAAAGGCACUCAAGCGAGAUAAGGCGGGAAAACUCAAGCCAGAGAGAGAGAGAGAGAGGUUGGCUGAAUUCUCCAAAUACGCACAGCCCUCCAAGAAUAGAAACCAGAAGCAGCCACGAGGGGCUCGGUCGGAGGCAUCGCCCUGCAGAUUUGCCACCCUCCCUCCCCCUGUACUGAUGUGAGAGCUGCCCCGGGAAGAAAGCGGAUGGGUUCCUUGGAGGUGUGGUGCUGCUGGAGAAAGGGGCUGAGGAUGCCAGGGAUGGCCAAGAGGACCAGCAAAUGGGUCCUGCAACAGCUCAAGGCAGAACUCUCUUUGGAAGUCAAGAUGAGGAGGCUUGCAUAUCUUGGCCGCAUGAUGAGAUGGCCCAACUCCUUAGUAAAGACAACCAUGCUAGCAAAGCCUACAACCAGAAAUGGGGAAAGUUAUCAGCACAGCUGAAAAUUCAACAAAUGAAGAAUCUUUGUGCCAAGGGAAAAGGUUCACUAGUUGAACUCCAGCCCAGCGGACUGUCCAGAGGAAGAGAGACAACAGGAAAAAGGGCAAUAGACCCAGAGAGGGAAGUAGAGCUAGCUAAGUGAGAUGGCUGAGGGGGCCUCCAACCAUGUGAUGGGCAAUGGAACAGGGCAGCAAGGUGAGGUGGUUGU